GCAGUCGAACGGCAGCACAGUGUGUAGCAAUACACAUGGGUGGCGAGUGGCGGACGGGUGAGUAAUGCAUGGGAAUCUGCCCAGUAGCGGGGGACAACUCGGGGAAACUCGAGCUAAUACCGCAUACGCCCUACGGGGGAAAGAGGGGGACCGCAAGGCCUCUCACUAUUGGAUGAGCCCAUGUCGGAUUAGCUAGUUGGUGAGGUAACGGCUCACCAAGGCGACAAUCCGUAGCUGGUCUGAGAGGACGACCAGCCACACCGGAACUGAGACACGGUCCGGACUCCUACGGGAGGCAGCAGUGGGGAAUAUUGGACAAUGGGGGAAACCCUGAUCCAGCGAUGCCGCGUGUGUGAAGAAGGCCUGCGGGUUGUAAAGCACUUUUAGUAGGGACGAAAUUUCGCGAGCUAAUAUCUCGCGAGCUUGACUUAACUUACAGAAAAAGCACCGGCUAACUCCGUGCCAGCAGCCGCGGUAAUACGGAGGGUGCGAGCGUUAAUCGGAAUUACUGGGCGUAAAGCGUACGUAGGCGGCUUUGUAAGUCAGUUGUGAAAUCCCCGGGCUUAACCUGGGAAUUGCAGUUGA
Molecule: ribosomal RNA, 585 nt
Filed under: uncultured bacterium
Lineage: Bacteria
Description: bacterial SSU rRNA
Rfam family: Bacterial small subunit ribosomal RNA
Source: RNAcentral